This 4188-nucleotide long non-coding RNA is filed under the name Monomorium pharaonis (pharaoh ant). Its description in RNAcentral is "uncharacterized LOC118646338". The record is from RNAcentral. Lineage: Eukaryota; Metazoa; Arthropoda; Insecta; Hymenoptera; Formicidae.
CUUAUAUAUGAAACAAUGAUCGCGUUAAUUUGAAUACAUAAGUUUGAGAAUAAUUUUUUUUCUAUGUAUGAGAAUUUAUAGAUAUUGCCUACGUUCGGCAGACAAAAUAGAUCAGUGAGUGUGAUAUUUUAUUAUAAUUGAUUAAAAAAAAACAGUUGAAUAUAAGUGUGGAAAUCAAUUUAAUUAAAUUAGUUCCGCUUUUCUAUCAAAUAUCAUCGUCAUCCAUAUAUUUUAUACAUAGGUUUAACAAAUGAUAGAGAUUUAGGCGAGCAAUCUCCGAUUGCUGUACGGCGGACGAGUCGUUGAUAUGCCAUACAGGGCACGGUUGCAGCAUGCGUAUCAGACGGCGUGACGCCACGGCCCCUCGGCUAUCUUCGUCGUUGGUCGGCCGCGGUCGCUAUCACCUCCGCCGACUCCGCCGCCAUGUCUGUUUUCCGUUCCUCCCGCUCAGCCGAAGUUGUGCUUCGUGCUUCUCGUGUUUCGAACUCGAAAUGUGUGCGUAUACGGCGACGUAGAGUGCCGGAAACGUGGUACGCACGAUCUUCUCGACACGCGGGUGCCAGCGUCGUUCGUAAAUGGAUCGAAUUCGUUCGUAAAGUGCUGCCGAUCGCGUUGCAACCAAGCGCCAAACUUCGCGCGCAUUUCACCUUUUUUUUUCAUGGCGCGAGACACUACCGUGUCUCUCUUGUUGUUAUUUGCGCGAUAACGAGAAUACCGGAGAUAGAGUAAUUGUCAUCGUCGUGUCCUCGCGAGUAAACUCUUAAAAGAGAUGUAUCGUGAAAGAAGCACCGUCGAACGAAUCGGUAGUUUUUUCGUGGAAUUGCACGAUCCUUCGCGUUGUUCCUCCGUUUCGGAACGGAAAGAAAAUCGUGCGCGAUCGUCCUACGAAGAUCGCGCGAUCUUGUGUUCGGUUAUUAACGUUCAAGUGAUGUACAACAAAUCGUGAGUGUCAUGAAGGACUAACAAAUAAAGCGAAAUUUGAGAGGAGUCAUCGGGAGUCCUCCCUCCCAGGAGCAGGAGGAACAGAUCCGGAGGGAGAGGGGGCAUUAACGGAACAACUACAGGAUGGAUGUAAUAUCAAUUCUGCUGUUGCGCAUUAGUGUUCGGUAAGUCUAAAACUUUUUUUAUUUUAAAUUAAAAUAUAUCUAUGAAAACUAUGUCAUAGAUCUGAGGAGCAGUCAUGACCAUCACUUAACUGAUUUUUUUUAAGUGCCACUAUGUCCAUGAAACUUGGACCUACAGAUAGUAUAUUAUGUCUAUAACUGAAAUAGUCAUGGCCAUCAUUUAACUGAUUUUUUUUAAGUGCCACUAUGUCCAUGAAACUUGGACCUACAGAUAGUAUAUUAUGUCUAUAACGUGAAAUAGUCAUGGCCAUCAUUUAACUGAUUUUUUUUAAGUGCCACUAUGUCCAUGAAACUUGGACCUACAGAUAGUAUAUUAUGUCUAUAACUGAAAUAGUCAUGGCCAUCAUUUAACUGAUUUUUUUUAAGUGCCACUAUGUCCAUGAAACUUGGACCUACAGAUAGUAUAUUAUGUCUAUAACGUGAAAUAGUCAUGGCCAUCAUUUAACUGAUCUUUUUUAAGUGCCACUAUGUCCAUGAUACUUGGACCUACAGACAGUAUAUUAUGUCUAUAACGUGAAAUAAAAUUUAUAUAUUUAUAUGUUUUCAUAUUUGUAAUAGAACUACUCGACAUUAUUUUUGAAUUAUAAAAUAAUUUACACGAUCUUAUACUAAUAAUUAUACAAAAUCAAUUAUAAGCAAUUGUCAAUCGAUUUAUCUACAAGUCAUUACGUAUAAUUAGAGAAAGAAUUAACGAACGGUUCAAAUAAGUCUUUAGUUAUCUUUAUUGUUAUCCAUAACUCAAGACUUUGCUAUUAAAAGUCGGCAAUUACGUAAUAUACUUACUUUUACUACUAAAAAUUAAAUUUAUUUUUAACAAUGUAGGAAGAUUAAAACAUGGAGAAAGUCUUUCUUUCUGAUACAAAUAAAACAAAAAGUGAAUAGUGAAAACUUAUCGAAAAGGAGGAUAUGAUGUGUUAGAGGAAUUAGGAAAUUUUUUUUCAAGAAAUUAACAAUUUGCACAACCAUCUGACAUAUUUAAGGGGUUUUUAUUUCGGAAUUGCAUCCAUUUUUGAAAUAUAUAAUUAAUAUCUCGCAACGGACGCGUUGACCCUGCAGCAAAAUGCGACGGGAAGAAAAAAGGAAUCUUCGCCGAACGCGAAAAAAUCACCGACACACAUUAUUUUGUUUCUCUCUCUUUUUUUUUCUCCCCGGCUGACGCCUGUGCCGAAACUAAGAAUUUGAGAAGAUGAGAGAACAUGAUUUUUCUAUUUUGGUAUCACUCACUUUCGACGCAUUUACCCUAUCGGGAUAAUACCGUCGCUACAUUCCGCUUCGUUUAUCGCUUUAUUUUCUCUCGCUCGCUCUCUCUUUCUCUCUCUUUCCUCUCCCAUUAUCUCCCUUCUUUUUUCAUAAACUCAAGUUAUAUACAAUGAAGUGUCUCGCGUACUUGAUUUUUAGAGAAUCACCAGUUUGAUUAUGUAUUCAUUAAAUGCCAAUUUUCUCGAAACUAAAGCCAGUUGCUUGAGUUGUUGAAUGUAGCAGUUAAAAAAAUUUGUUUACAAUACCUUUUCGAGUCUACCCUUUCGAGUUCUACUUCUAAUAACCUAAUAAUUGCAUAAUACAUUAUUUAUAGCUUUGUCACAGAUAGCGAUUUGCUUCCAAUUAACUGGCUCUUCCACAAAUUUCAAGUCGACGCCUAUUUUUAAAAUAUAUAAAUUGCAAGGAUAUUAUUGCAUAUUGAUAUUUUAAAUUAUACUUGUGUAAUUAUAUGGGAGUAUAUUUUACAGUGUGUAUAGGAUUUCCAACCCUCUGCGUCUUUCAGAUUUCAUAUUGCAGGAUACAGUUAAUUGCUCUCGCCUAUUUAUCCCUUUUCUUUUCCUUUUUUGCUACCCUCCCCCCCCCCCCUCUCUCUCUCUCUCGCUCUCUCUUUUUCUUCACGCGCACACACAACACACACGACACGCAUACACACACGCACGCGCAAUCGCAUUUUCCAUUGACUUUGCAUCUCCGUCCGAUACUCGAAACCGCCUCGUGCCUACAACCAUUCACGUGAAAUCUUUCCUUACUCCGAUCGACUUCGGAAACCGAUGAUCAGACGAUCGCGCGAGACAAUCGUGUUGCUCUACAUUUGUUGUGUCGCGGAGAGAAAAUUUCGCGCGGAUCUCUCGGACGAUUCCUCUCGCAAAGUAAUCCGCUCGUCGUUGGUCAGCGGCCGGAGAAAAUUCGCGUAAACGAAUUCGCUUCGUGUUUUUUUCGUGGAGGACUGUUUUUAAGGCACUUUAACCUGCACUACGAAAUUGUAUCGUAUUAUUGUAGAUGAACGUGACGCCUGUACGUUAGAUUCGUUAGAAGAACACACCUGCGCGCUAAUAAAUAGUCAGUACUUUCCGAUUAAACUCACUAUAUAUUAAAUAUAUCCGCACUAAACGCAAAGUUGCUUUGCGACUCGACGAGUUUUAAGCUCCGAGACGAGAAUUCGCUAAAAGGCAUUUAAGUGCAAGGGCACUUGCUCUUAAUAGAGAGAAUAAUUUAUUUUGUAUAUUCGCUAAAACUGCGCGUUAUUAUCUUUUUCCUCGCAAACACUUGUAAAACAUGGUUUUUCUUUUUCUCUACGUCGUUUGAGCGCGACUGAAUUUGCGAGAGGGAGGCGAAGACCCGAGAAAACAAUCUCUCUCUCUCUCUCUUUUUCUCACUCUCUCUCUUUCUUUCUCUCUCCUUUACGAUCUACGAAUUUGGGAUUUCCGAAGUCGAUCGCACGCCUAUUUGCGCGGCAUUCUUCGUGGUGGGAAGUGUGUUUCGUUCCGGCCGUCCGUCGUCGCGAGCGGAGCCGGGCGGACGCAAUCGCACGCAGAUCGCGUCUUCUCGAAGCUCGAGAGAACCUACCGAAAUUCCCUUCCCUUCUCGCGGAAGUCAGUGCAAUAUAAGAGUGUUAAUCGCGUCGUGUGUUUUUUUUUUUUUUUUUGUCACGUCCCCCCGGCGUCGCACGCAUCCGGAUCGGCGACCAUCGCACACCUUCCACAAGUUUAGCGGAUUAAUCACUGGAAGAGAGAGAUAAAAAAGACGUUUUUUUUCCGUUUUCUACUUUUCUUUAUGUUAAUUGAUUAAGUUAGUGUGUGUGGGG